Molecule: unclassified non-coding RNA, 138 nt
Filed under: plant metagenome
Description: partial contains 5.8S ribosomal RNA, internal transcribed spacer 2, and large subunit ribosomal RNA
Source: RNAcentral
GGCCGGGUCGGUGAUCGAGAUCACACCGGGCGGGAUCACCAUCAGCAUGGGCGGCUCGUCGGUCAAGGUCGAUGCGGCGGGGGUCUCGGUCGCGGGGCCCAAGAUCUCGCUGAACGGGUAACGACUCGAUGGCCCUCA